ACAUGCAGUCGAGCGGUAGCACAGAGAGCUUGCUCCUGGGUGACGAGCGGCGGACGGGUCAGUUAUGUCUGGGAAACUGCCUGAUGGAGGGGGAUAACUACUGCAAACGGUAGCUAAUACCGCAUAACGUCGCAGGACCAAAGAGGGGGACCUUCGGGCCUCUUGCCAUCAGAUGUGCCCAGAUGGGAUUAGCUAGUAGGUGGGGUAAUGGCUCACCUAGGCGACGAUCCCUAGCUGGUCUGAGAGGAUGACCAGCCACACUGGAACUGAGACACGGUCCAGACUCCUACGGGAGGCAGCAGUGGGGAAUAUUGCACAAUGGGCGCAAGCCUGAUGCAGCCAUGCCGCGUGUAUGAAGAAGGCCUUCGGGUUGUAAAGUACUUUCAGCGAGGAGGAAGGCAUUGUGGUUAAUAACCGCAGUGAUUGACGUUACUCGCAGAAGAAGCACCGGCUAACUCCGUGCCAGCAGCCGCGGUAAUACGGAGGGUGCAAGCGUUAAUCGGAAUUACUGGGCGUAAAGCGCACGCAGGCGGUCUGUCAAGUCGGAUGUGAAAAUCCCGGGACUCAACCUGGGAACUGCAUUCGAAACUGGCAGGCUAGAGUCUUGUAGAGGGGGGUAGAAUUCCAGGUGUAGCGGUGAAAUGCGUAGAGAUCUGGAAGAAUACCGGUGGCGGAAGGCGGCCCCUGGAACAAGACUGACGCUCAGUGCCAAAGCUUGGGGAGCAAACAGGGAUAGAUACCCUGGUAGUCCACGCCCGUAACGAUGUCGACUUGGAAGGUGAUCCCCUUGAAGAGUGGGCUUCCGGAGCUAACGCGUUAAGUUCA
RNAcentral lists this ribosomal RNA (825 nucleotides) under uncultured bacterium. RNAcentral's name for it is "bacterial SSU rRNA". It matches the Rfam family "Bacterial small subunit ribosomal RNA", at positions 53 to 868 of the family's 1533-position model. The record is from RNAcentral.